This 2172-nucleotide ribosomal RNA is filed under the name Salmonella enterica subsp. enterica serovar Enteritidis. RNAcentral's name for it is "partial 23S ribosomal RNA". It matches the Rfam family "Bacterial large subunit ribosomal RNA", at positions 646 to 2802 of the family's 2925-position model. The record is from RNAcentral. Lineage: Bacteria; Pseudomonadati; Pseudomonadota; Gammaproteobacteria; Enterobacterales; Enterobacteriaceae.
UUAACCGAAUAGGGGAGCCGGAGGGAAACCGAGUCUUAAUUGGGCGUUAAGUUGCAGGGUAUAGACCCGAAACCCGGUGAUCUAGCCAUGGGCAGGUUGAAGGUUGGGUAACACUAACUGGAGGACCGAACCGACUAAUGUUGAAAAAUUAGCGGAUGACCUGUGGCUGGGGGUGAAAGGCCAAUCAAACCGGGAGAUAGCUGGUUCUCCCCGAAAGCUAUUUAGGUAGCGCCUCGUGAAUUCAUCUCCGGGGGUAGAGCACUGUUUCGGCUAGGGGGCCAUCCCGGCUUACCAACCCGAUGCAAACUGCGAAUACCGGAGAAUGUUAUCACGGGAGACACACGGCGGGUGCUAACGUCCGUCGUGAAGAGGGAAACAACCCAGACCGCCAGCUAAGGUCCCAAAGUCAUGGUUAAGUGGGAAACGAUGUGGGAAGGCCCAGACAGCCAGGAUGUUGGCUUAGAAGCAGCCAUCAUUUAAAGAAAGCGUAAUAGCUCACUGGUCGAGUCGGCCUGCGCGGAAGAUGUAACGGGGCUAAACCAUGCACCGAAGCUGCGGCAGCGACACUGUGUGUUGUUGGGUAGGGGAGCGUUCUGUAAGCCUGUGAAGGUGUGUCGUGAGGCAUGCUGGAGGUAUCAGAAGUGCGAAUGCUGACAUAAGUAACGAUAAAGCGGGUGAAAAGCCCGCUCGCCGGAAGACCAAGGGUUCCUGUCCAACGUUAAUCGGGGCAGGGUGAGUCGACCCCUAAGGCGAGGCCGAAAGGCGUAGUCGAUGGGAAACGGGUUAAUAUUCCCGUACUUGGUGUUACUGCGAAGGGGGGACGGAGAAGGCUAUGUUGGCCGGGCGACGGUUGUCCCGGUUUAAGCGUGUAGGUGUGUGUUCCAGGUAAAUCCGGUUCACUUUAACACUGAGGCGUGACGACGAGGCACUACGGUGCUGAAGCAACAAAUGCCCUGCUUCCAGGAAAAGCCUCUAAGCAUCAGGUAACAUCAAAUCGUACCCCAAACCGACACAGGUGGUCAGGUAGAGAAUACCAAGGCGCUUGAGAGAACUCGGGUGAAGGAACUAGGCAAAAUGGUGCCGUAACUUCGGGAGAAGGCACGCUGACACGUAGGUGAAGUGAUUUACUCAUGGAGCUGAAGUCAGUCGAAGAUACCAGCUGGCUGCAACUGUUUAUUAAAAACACAGCACUGUGCAAACACGAAAGUGGACGUAUACGGUGUGACGCCUGCCCGGUGCCGGAAGGUUAAUUGAUGGGGUCAGCGCAAGCGAAGCUCCUGAUCGAAGCCCCGGUAAACGGCGGCCGUAACUAUAACGGUCCUAAGGUAGCGAAAUUCCUUGUCGGGUAAGUUCCGACCUGCACGAAUGGCGUAAUGAUGGCCAGGCUGUCUCCACCCGAGACUCAGUGAAAUUGAACUCGCUGUGAAGAUGCAGUGUACCCGCGGCAAGACGGAAAGACCCCGUGAACCUUUACUAUAGCUUGACACUGAACAUUGAGCCUUGAUGUGUAGGAUAGGUGGGAGGCUUUGAAGUGUGGACGCCAGUCUGCAUGGAGCCGACCUUGAAAUACCACCCUUUAAUGUUUGAUGUUCUAACGUGGACCCGUUACCCGGGUUGCGGACAGUGUCUGGUGGGUAGUUUGACUGGGGCGGUCUCCUCCUAAAGAGUAACGGAGGAGCACGAAGGUUGGCUAAUCCUGGUCGGACAUCAGGAGGUUAGUGCAAUGGCAUAAGCCAGCUUGACUGCGAGCGUGACGGCGCGAGCAGGUGCGAAAGCAGGUCAUAGUGAUCCGGUGGUUCUGAAUGGAAGGGCCAUCGCUCAACGGAUAAAAGGUACUCCGGGGAUAACAGGCUGAUACCGCCCAAGAGUUCAUAUCGACGGCGGUGUUUGGCACCUCGAUGUCGGCUCAUCACAUCCUGGGGCUGAAGUAGGUCCCAAGGGUAUGGCUGUUCGCCAUUUAAAGUGGUACGCGAGCUGGGUUUAGAACGUCGUGAGACAGUUCGGUCCCUAUCUGCCGUGGGCGCUGGAGAACUGAGGGGGGCUGCUCCUAGUACGAGAGGACCGGAGUGGACGCAUCACUGGUGUUCGGGUUGUCAUGCCAAUGGCACUGCCCGGUAGCUAAAUGCGGAAGAGAUAAGUGCUGAAAGCAUCUAAGCACGAAACUUGCCCCGA